Benincasa hispida (wax gourd) is the source of this 2359-nucleotide non-coding RNA. NCBI's taxonomy places the organism in Eukaryota, Viridiplantae, Streptophyta, Magnoliopsida, Cucurbitales, Cucurbitaceae. The record is from RefSeq and is a predicted model, not a curated record.
AAGAAAUUCAGAUAAAAUUCACAAGUUGGUGGGCAAUUGCAAAAGAAAUGGCAACAAUAAUGGCUAAAGCUCUGAAGAUGAUUUUCUUGUUAAUUUUUGUGUUAUGGCUGUGGCUUUGGAUUAUGUUGCCCACAAAGCUUUACAAGAAUAAUUGGACCCCUAAGCUCAAUAUGAACCUCAAUUCCACAUAUUUUAGAGAACAAGGAACAAAUCUUCUGCUUUUCUCCUUUCCCAUCAUGUUAAUGGCAGUUUUGGGUUGUUUUUAUCUCCAUUUGCAGAAGAAAUCUUCAGAAUUAGAUCCUAAACCCUUUUCUACCCAAAGGAGCCGAGGAGAUUCAUUUCUAAAACGACCAAUUGUAGUGAUGAAUCCAUUUGGGAUUGUUAAUACAUUGGAGAUUGUGUUUGCAGCUGCAUUUCUUUUACUUUUGAUUUGGUCUCUUGGAAAUUACUUAUACGUCAGUUUUGGUAAUCUUCAUAUGGAUAAUGUUGGAGAGACAAUUGGGGAAGCAAAGUUUAGAAGUGUAUCAUUGAGAGUUGGGUACAUUGGAAAUAUAUGCUGGGCAUUUCUGUUCUUUCCAGUAACAAGAGGCUCUUCAUUAUUGCCUCUAAUUGGACUUACUUCAGAAUCAACUAUCAAAUAUCACAUUUGGCUUGGCCAUAUUUCUAAUCUUCUCUUUGCAUUGCACACCCUUGGAUUCAUCAUCUACUGGGCCAUCACUGAUCAAAUGGCUCUGUUAAAAGAAUGGAGUGAAGACUAUGUAUCAAAUGUUGCUGGAGUGAUUGCUAUGGCAUUUGCCACAGUUAUCUGGGUGACGAGUUUUAAAUCGAUCCGUCGAAAAAUGUUUGAAGUUUUCUAUUACAGUCACCAUUUUUACGCUCUCUACAUCAUCUUCUAUCUAAUCCAUGUGGGAGCAGCAUAUGUAUGUUUGAUUCUUCCUGGUAUCUUUCUCUGGGCUAUUGAUCGAUUCUUACGAUUCUUACAAUCGCAACGGCAUGUAAGCCUGGUUUCAGCUCGCCAUCUUCCUUGUGGUGCAGUUGAAUUGAACUUUUUGAAAAGUCCAGAACUAAGCUACAAACCUACAAGUGUGAUGUUCAUAAAUGUGCCAAGCAUUUCCAAACUGCAAUGGCAUCCCUUUACAGUCACUUCUAACUGCAAAUUGGAGCCUGAUACAGUUAGUGUUGUUAUCAAAUCAGGGGGAAGUUGGACUUCCAAACUUCACAAACAACUUUCUUCUUCUCUGGAUCACCUUCAAGUUUCUGUUGAAGGUCCAUAUGGUCCUGCUUCUACUCACUUUUUAAGGCAUGAAUCUCUGCUGCUGAUAAGCGGAGGAAGUGGAAUUACUCCCUUCAUAUCAAUAAUCAGAGAGAUAAUGAUUGUUCGAAGCACAAAACCGAACUGUCAUGUUCCGCAAAUUCGGCUCGUCUGCGCCUUCAAGAACUCCAUCGAUCUCACUAUGUUGGAUCUCUUGCUUCCAGUAUCUAGCACACAAACUGAAAUUUCGAAUAUACCAUUACAAAUUGAAGCUUAUAUCACCAGAGAGAAAGAACAACCUCAGACAAAUUCUGAAAAUCUCAUAAACACAAUAUGGUUUAAGCCAAAUCCACUGGACUCACCAGUGUCAGAGGCUCUUGGACCAAACAAUUGGCUGCUCCUUGGUGCGAUUAUCUCAUCUUCGUUUGUGAUGUUCUUGAUACUUUUAGGCAUCAUCACUCGCUACUACAUUUACCCGAUUGAACAAAACGGCGAUGCUGUUUACAAUUACACCUACAAGGUUCUUUGGGACAUGUUCUUAGCAUUUGCUUGUAUUUGCAUAUCUUCUAGCUUUGUCUUUCUGUGGCAAAGGAAAACAAAUGCUUCAAAUGGCAAACAAAUUCAAAUUCACAAUUUUCAAUCACCAAAAGCAUCACCUGGAUCGUGGAUCUUUCGAGGUGAUAGUGAGCUUGAGAGCCUUCCCUGCCAAUCCCUAGUUCAAGCAACCAGCAUCCAUUAUGGGGGUAGGCCUGAUCUCAAGAAAAUUCUGUUUGAUUGCAAAAUUCUGUUUGAUUGCAAAGGAUCGGAUAUUGGAGUUUUAGUCAGCGGCCCAACCGGGAUGCGGCAUGAUGUAGCAAAAAUUUGUUCAACUGCUUAUGGAGAUAAUCUAAAGUUUCACUCUAUGAGUUUCACCUGGUAAAGACCUGAAGUACAGUGCAUAAUUUAAAGUUCGAAGCUGUAUCAUACCUGUUUGAAGACUUUCUUUUACAGAAGAAGCAGCACUAAGAACCUCAACUUUAUCGCCAUCCUUCUUCCAGAUGGGUAUGAUUACCACCUGGAUAUAAGUCAGCUAUGUUAAAAUUAUGUUUGUUUGAGAGAGAGAGGAAU